Molecule: non-coding RNA, 284 nt
Organism: Dermacentor andersoni
Lineage: Eukaryota; Metazoa; Arthropoda; Arachnida; Ixodida; Ixodidae
Source: RefSeq, a predicted model, not a curated record
UGAAGGAACUGAGUGCGCCACGACCAAAUUUGGAAUCACAGACACUGCGGAAAGAGACAUUGCUAUCAAACGUUGUUUCAGAGAUGCAGCGGACCAUGCAAAGGCUUCGAUACCGCUUAUCGAGGAGGAAGCAGUGGUUUUCGACGCCAUAAGGGCCUGCGUUGUCAAAGGUUUGGAAGCACUGAAGCAAUGAGCGCAAGGGGAAGCAGGAGGAGCUACGAGAGCAGCUAGUAGACAGCUUGUCCAGGAGUUUCUGCGCAUUAAAACUAUUUUUCUACAGCUUG